AUAACAGUGACCUUUGAACAACUGUUUCCACACAGUACCAUCUUUAUACGGCCGUGCCCCACACUUGAAAGAUUCAUACCCCGUGCGCCCUGCUGUGUAUACGCUACUCUAUACUGCUAUGACAACCUCUGUUAGCUAUUGGACAGAAAUUUCAACACUUCCAGCUUAGCAGGAUAUCUCCCAUGGCAGUGCAUUAAUUGGAAGAGCUGAGGGACGCUCUGUAUCAGGCUGAUGGCCAGCACUUAAGGGUUCAUACCCUGUGCACCUGAGGUGAGGCCCCUACUAUAUGUGCGCUGCACUGUGCUACUGAGUGGAGACAGGCUGCUACAGCCUCUUAACUGCUGGGUAUGAUCUCCAGGACAGACUCCCAAAAGGAAUAUCUCCCAUGACAGUGCAUUAAUUAUUGAAAGAGCUGAGAGAAGCUCUCUAUCAGGCUAAUGGCCAGUUCAUAC
Molecule: non-coding RNA, 452 nt
Organism: Pelobates cultripes (western spadefoot toad)
Lineage: Eukaryota; Metazoa; Chordata; Amphibia; Anura; Pelobatidae
Source: the annotation of a GenBank genome assembly